Non-coding RNA from Chlorocebus sabaeus (green monkey), 112 nucleotides. NCBI's taxonomy places the organism in Eukaryota, Metazoa, Chordata, Mammalia, Primates, Cercopithecidae. The record is from RefSeq and is a predicted model, not a curated record.
UCUUUCUAAAGACUUGAGGCUGGAGAAUAUAAGUGACGAGGAGACUCAUCCAGUUUGUCCUGAGGAUGGCCUGUUUUUAAGAGGCUCACCACAACGCAAAGAUGAAGAAGAA